UACGUAGGGGGCGAGCGUUGUCCGGAUUUACUGGGCGUAAAGGGUGAGUAGGCGGUUAUGUAUGUCAGGUGUAAAAGGCGUAGGCUUAACUUACGUUAGCACUUGAAACUGCAUAACUUGAGUGCAGGAGAGGUAAGUGGAAUUCCUAGUGUAGCGGUGAAAUGCGUAGAUAUUAGGAGGAACACCAGUGGCGAAGGCGACUUACUGGACUGUAACUGACGCUGAGUCACGAAAGCGUGGGUAGCAAACAGGAUUAGAUACCCUGGUAGUCCACGCUGUAAACGAUGAGUGCUAGGUGUUGGGUAGCGAUAUUCAGUGCCGAAGUAAACACAAUAAGCACUCCGCCUGGGGAGUACGGUCGCAAGACUGAA
This 371-nucleotide ribosomal RNA is filed under the name uncultured bacterium. RNAcentral's name for it is "bacterial SSU rRNA". It matches the Rfam family "Bacterial small subunit ribosomal RNA", at positions 524 to 898 of the family's 1533-position model. The record is from RNAcentral.